CAUCCUGACAAGCCAGUCAGUCCUGCUCUGCAAAGCAUGUGUCCAUGCCAGAUUUCUGAUGAUAAACCGACUAUGACUGAUAUUCCCUUUAUACUCUGCAACAGCAGCCAUUAGCCCUGCUGGAGUUGUUCUGUUGCACUGAAAGCUACUGAGAGGACGGUUUGCAAGUCUUUUAUGUCUGCAACACGGCUAUUUAUAUCUUGAACACUGUACAGCAAUGAUGGGAAGUGAAUCAUCAAAGAUGCUUUGAUUACAUGAAUAAGAUUCAAUUUCAGGUUUAUCCUAAUGAUGCAAAUAUUCUUCCCUGGAGAUGCAUACAUGGAGUCUCUUGCUUGCUGUCCUGGCAGCGGCAUGAGUUAGGACUUUGCCCCUUUCAGAUCUGACUAGUUAAGCAGAAAGGUUAGAAGGACCUGGUCAGUAAUUAAGUGGGAGACCUCCAAGGUGAAUUUGGAAUGAGAGGGAGAGAGUAGGGACUUUUAUUCACUAUGUCGCAGAUUUUUUUAAUCUGAAUCCAUAGUAAACCWGUGGUCCUGCAAGCUGCACCGUCAAGGAAGGAAGUGGUCUAAGCUGSCUGGAGCUGUCACCCAUGAGUAGAGAUAGCUUAUGUUGGCAAGGCUGCAGCACUUCCUUUUGCUCUGCCUUUUGUGCUGCUCCUGCUGUCUUUUAUCAUUUUCCACCUCUGUCUCAGGACUGGUUCAGCUGCUUGUGAAGCACCAGGGGAACUGCCACAGUCCAGCCCGGCAAGAAAAACCCACAGCGACUUCGGCAUCGCUCCACAUCGCUAGGCCAGAACGCGAGCAGCAGAGCCACCCUCCGGACCUGGGAUCAGCUGGGACUGGAAGUCCUGGGCCGUCGCAAGGUGAACCACACUGCCUCGUGGCCCCGGCACCGGACACCAGCUGGGUUUCUGCAAGGUUAAGAAGUGUUACCUCAAAAUCGGUGCCAUACUCAUGCGGCAGUGACCUGGCUGCAAAAGGAAACGCAAAGGUUUGAAGACACGUGCGCCUGCCCGUGCUACUGCUGUGCGUGUCGCUGGCAAGAGACACYGGGGAGACUAAGACAAGGGCCACCUGGCUGGGGAGGAUAACUCCCAAACUGCCAAGUUUUCUCUAUAUUCAUUUAGGACUUUAAUCGUCCUUCACCGUGUAUUUUUCCGUUGUUUGCCCCUCUCCUACCAUAGAGCACCAGUUGUAAAUAAUAAUUAAAAAACUGAAGUAAUACAAAUACUCAUUCCUGUGAAAGUGUGUUUUUUGCCAUACAGGCUGCUCCAGGUUGAUUAGCUCAGCUCCAUGCUAAGAAAAUCUGUUCUUCUGGUAAUGUUCUUCCACCUGCCUGCAGGAAAAAAGAAAUCCAUUUUUAACUUAGAGAAUAAAAAAUCAAUGUUAGUUUUACCA
This 1394-nucleotide long non-coding RNA is filed under the name Dromaius novaehollandiae (emu). RNAcentral describes it as "lncRNA (ENSDNVG00000014938.1)". Lineage: Eukaryota; Metazoa; Chordata; Aves; Casuariiformes; Dromaiidae. The record is from RNAcentral.